CUCGGCAGUCAUUGCGCAGGCACUUUGGCGACUCAAGAUAACCUCGGGCCGAUCGCACGUCCACGUGACGGAUGUCUGCCCUAUCAACUUUCGAUGAUACUUUCUGUGCCUACCAUGGUGACCACGGGUAAUGGGGAAUCAGGGUUCAAUUCUGGAG
Non-coding RNA from Pelobates cultripes (western spadefoot toad), 157 nucleotides. NCBI's taxonomy places the organism in Eukaryota, Metazoa, Chordata, Amphibia, Anura, Pelobatidae. The record is from the annotation of a GenBank genome assembly.